The sequence is a regulatory RNA element, 108 nucleotides long. It matches the Rfam family "SAM-I/IV (S-adenosyl methionine) riboswitch aptamer". From Rfam's summary of the family: It is found upstream of a number of genes which code for proteins involved in methionine or cysteine biosynthesis. It has been found mostly in the order Actinomycetales. The record is from Rfam.
AUGCAGCAUCAAGAGUUGGGCCGGCGCCCAACGCCAACCUGCCGAUCCGGGCAAGGUGGCGCUCCCGCGAGGGGGGAUGUGGCCGAUCCGGCAACCAAGCGGACCAAG